AUUGACCGCUGUCGCCAGCCCUAACACAUGCAAGUCGAGCGGUAACAGAGAGAAGCUUGCUUCUUUGCUGUCGAGCGGCGGACGCGUGAGUAACGCGUAGGAAUCUGCCUAUUAGUGGGGGAUAAGCCAGAGAAAUUUGGUCUAAUACCGCAUACUCCCUACGGGGGAAAGGAGGGGCUCUUCGGACCUUUCGCUAUUAGAUGAGCCUGCGUGAGAUUAGCUAGUUGGUGAGGUAAGAGCUCACCAAGGCGACGAUCUUUAGCUGGUCUGAGAGGAUGAUCAGCCACACUGGGACUGAGACACGGCCCAGACUCCUACGGGAGGCAGCAGUGGGGAAUAUUGGACAAUGGGGGCAACCCUGAUCCAGCCAUGCCGCGUGUGUGAAGAAGGCCUUCGGGUUGUAAAGCACUUUCAGAUGUGAGGAAAGGUGAGUAGUUAAUACCUGCUUAUUGUGACGUUAGCAUCAGAAGAAGGACCGGCUAACUCCGUGCCAGCAGCCGCGGUAAUACGGAGGGUCCGAGCGUUAAUCGGAAUUACUGGGCGUAAAGCGCGCGUAGGUGGUUCAGUCAGUCAGAUGUGAAAGCCCAGGGCUCAACCUUGGAACUGCACCUGAUACUGCAAGACUAGAGUACAGUAGAGGGGAGUGGAAUUUCCGGUGUAGCGGUGAAAUGCGUAGAGAUCGGAAGGAACACCAGUGGCGAAGGCAGAC
RNAcentral lists this ribosomal RNA (709 nucleotides) under bacterium IMCC8517. RNAcentral's name for it is "bacterial SSU rRNA". It matches the Rfam family "Bacterial small subunit ribosomal RNA", at positions 28 to 725 of the family's 1533-position model. The record is from RNAcentral.